Molecule: ribosomal RNA, 460 nt
Filed under: uncultured bacterium
Lineage: Bacteria
Description: partial 16S ribosomal RNA
Rfam family: Bacterial small subunit ribosomal RNA
Source: RNAcentral
CCUACGGGAGGCAGCAGUGAGGAAUAUUGGUCAAUGGACGAGAGUCUGAACCAGCCAAGUAGCGUGAAGGAUGACUGCCCUAUGGGUUGUAAACUUCUUUUAUAUGGGAAUAAAAUGUUCCACGUGUGGGAUUUUGUAUGUACCAUAUCAAUAAGGAUCGGCUAACUCCGUGCCAGCAGCCGCGGUAAUACGGAGGAUCCGAGCGUUAUCCGGAUUUAUUGGGUUUAACGGGAGCGUAGGUGGAUUGUUAAGUCAGUUGUGAAAGUUUGCGGCUCAACCGUAAAAUUGCAGUUGAAACUGGCAGUCUGGAGUACAGUAGAGGUGGGCGGAAUUCGUGGUGUAGCGGUGAAAUGCUUAGAUAUGACGAAGAACUCCGAUUGCGAAGGCAGCUCACUGGACUGCAACUGACACUGAGGCUCGAAAGUGUGGGUAUCAAACAGGAUUAGAUACCCUUGUAGUC